AUUGAACGCUGGCGGCAGGCCUAACACAUGCCAGUCGAGCGAGUGGCGGACGGGUGAGUACUGUAUGGGGUCUUCCCGAUUGAGGGUGCUAACUCCUUGAUACGGUGGCCUAUUCCGCAUUUCGUCGGAUAACCCAUAUGGGAUUAGCUAGUAGGUAAGGUAAUGGCUUACCUAGGCGACGAUCCCUAGCUGGUCUGAGAGGAUGAUCAGCCACACUGGGACUGAGACACGGCCCAGACGCCUACGGAGGCAGCAGUGGGGAAUAUGGCACAAUGGGCGCAAGCGUGAUGCAACCAUGCCGCGUGUAUGAGGGAGGCCAUAGGGUUGUAAAGUGCUUGCAGUCGGGAGGCGUAACCGACAGGUGAGGCACCGGCUAACUCCGGGCCAGCAGCCGCGGUAAUUC
This 403-nucleotide ribosomal RNA is filed under the name uncultured bacterium. RNAcentral's name for it is "partial 16S ribosomal RNA". It matches the Rfam family "Bacterial small subunit ribosomal RNA", at positions 30 to 526 of the family's 1533-position model. The record is from RNAcentral.